Molecule: non-coding RNA, 30 nt
Filed under: Mus musculus (house mouse)
Lineage: Eukaryota; Metazoa; Chordata; Mammalia; Rodentia; Muridae
Source: RNAcentral
AAGUCCUUGAUAGUGGCAGUAAUUUCUGCA